GUGCCAGCAGCCGCGGUAAAACGAGAAGAGCAAGCAUUAUUUAUUAUAAAUUGGCGUAAAGAGUUUGUAGUGCUGUAAAAUAAGUUUUAAUUAAAAUUUUUAAGCUUUAUUUAAGAAAAAAAUAAGAAUACUAUUUUACCUAGAGUUUGAUGCAAUAAAAAUAGAAUUUUGUACGAAAAAGUAAAAUUUGUAGAUAUAGCAAAGGAAUACCAAUUUGUGAAAACAAUUUUUUAGCAAAAACUGACGUUGAGAAACGAAAAUAUAGGUAGCAAACAGGAUUUGAUACCCUGGUAGUCUAUAUUGUAAAUUCUGAGUGUUAAAAUUUAAUAAAUUAAAUUUUAAGCUAGCGCAAUAAACACUCCGCCUGAGGAGUAUAAUUUAAAAUUGAAACUCAAAGGAACUGACGGGAACUUAUACUAACAGUGGAGCGUAUGGUUUAAAACGAUAACCCACGUUAAAUCUUACCAAUUUUUUGAAAAAAUAAAUAAUUUAUUUUUAUAAAAUCUAUAUUAAUUUACAUUUAUUUACAGGUGCUGCACGGCUGUCGUAAGUCCGUGUCUUAAGACGUUUGGUUAAUUCCUUUAACGGACGAUGCUCUUAUUUUUUAAUUAUAAUUAAGUUUAAAAAUUCAAAACUUUAUAUGUUUUGCAUUUAAAAACAAUUUUAAUUUUUCUAAACACAAUUAAUUAUAAAUUAAAGGGAGGUAAGAAUAAAGACAAGUCAUUGUGACCCUUAUAAAUUGGGCUACACAUGCGCUACAAUGAAAAUUACAAAAAGUUACAAAUACAAAGUUAACCUUAAAAAAAUUUUCUUAGUUCGGAUUGUGACCUGAAACUCGGUGACAUAAAGUUGGAAUUGUUAGUAAUCGUAUGUCACAAUAAUAUGGUGAAAAGUUAUAGGUUUUGUACACACCGCCCGUCACACC
RNAcentral lists this ribosomal RNA (925 nucleotides) under uncultured Alphaproteobacteria bacterium. RNAcentral's name for it is "partial 16S ribosomal RNA". It matches the Rfam family "Bacterial small subunit ribosomal RNA", at positions 505 to 1403 of the family's 1533-position model. The record is from RNAcentral. Lineage: Bacteria; Pseudomonadati; Pseudomonadota; Alphaproteobacteria.